This 53-nucleotide non-coding RNA is filed under the name unclassified sequences. The record is from Rfam.
UCCUUAAUGCAGCCAACGGAGGUCACAAGCCCUCGAAUAAUGCAGAGUGAGGA